Molecule: transfer RNA, 73 nt
Filed under: Bacteroidales bacterium
Lineage: Bacteria; Pseudomonadati; Bacteroidota; Bacteroidia; Bacteroidales
Also listed under: 1 other name
Description: tRNA-Gly
Rfam family: tRNA
About the family: Transfer RNA (tRNA) molecules are approximately 80 nucleotides in length. Their secondary structure includes four short double-helical elements and three loops (D, anti-codon, and T loops).
Source: RNAcentral
GCGGAAGUAGCUCAGCUGGUAGAGCGCAACCUUGCCAAGGUUGAGGUCGCGGGUUCGAGCCCCGUUUUCCGCU